Felis catus (domestic cat) is the source of this 2705-nucleotide long non-coding RNA. RefSeq lists it as uncharacterized. The transcript has 7 exons. The record is from RefSeq and is a predicted model, not a curated record. NCBI's taxonomy places the organism in Eukaryota, Metazoa, Chordata, Mammalia, Carnivora, Felidae.
GGCUCUAAGGAAUAUAGUGAAAAAUGAGUUCAGAGAACAGAUUAGCUUUGGUUGCCUUGUUGGGGGGAAAAGAGUUCUAUUUAACUUGAUAGGGAGAGAAGCCAGGGGUUUAUAAAUCUGUGAUAAAUAUAUGAGGGUUAUGACUGAGGCUUGCUCAUGAAAUGGAAAACCUAAGUGAGUAUACUAUUAGAAUCCCAAGCUCUGGGUCAAAACCAAGAAGUUUAGAAUAUCCUAGAGGUAGGAGUGUCAUCCACGAGCCCAGAGACAUAGGUGAAACGAAGAAGGUAGGAGACGGUGAUUUAGAAACUUGGCAAAUGUCUGUUCUGAUUGUUUUCUUUUUUAAACUGGGAUUUGUAUCAGCAAUCAGUUGAAGUGUGUGUGUGUGUGUGUGUGUGUGUGUGUGUGUGCACGGGUGUGUAUAUACCCACUGACUCCCCACCCCCAGCAUUUCUGAUUCAUACUAGUCCUGGUGUUUUUUUAAAGCACAGUUAAUACGAGAAUUUGAUUUCCUGCGUGAGAGAGGAGGGUAGUCCUGGGAAAGACCGCUCGCCUUGGAUUCCUUAAAAAGCAACAAAAGAAGGGUGUGUUUUCAAGACCGGGUGAGUGGAGAGGGCUUGUUUGACUUCGGAUACUGCACUAUUGCCCUGAUUUCACUAAGUUACUUAUUUGAGACACCUACCAACUUCAUAUAUAUUUUUAUUAGAUGUCGACAAGGAUGGUAUAUCUGUGUACGGAGACCCUCUGUGCACAGGCGACUUCAUUUCUACAUAGCUGCUUUCUGGAAGCUUGCAGGUCCAAGGAGAGCAGAACACUCCAUGUGGAUGCAAGUUGAGAUGUUUGCUACCACUGGCAGUCUUUUCUCCUGUAACAGGUCAUUUGAAACUUGUUACAUCUGUGAAGAGGGCUGGACACGAAGGACUAGGAUUACUACUUAAGAAAUGAGGAUAGCGAAGCUCAUAAAGUUUGCUUGAUGCUCGAAUUGGUGCCUACCAGGACAUCAGGGCAGAGGAAGCAGUCCUUGAAAAGAAGUACUUUGGCAGGGCCUGGCUCAGGGAAGGGUCCCUUUCUCAGAUGAGUGUUUACAUGUCCCAUGGAUCACAGGGCUGUGUUUAAUGUACUGGCAGUUGGUUCCACAUGGACCCUCCAGGUGGGGUGCAGUUCCUUCCUUGGACAGAGGUUCCUGCUCCCCACACUCAUUGUCUCCAGGAGCAUCUGACCAGCCAUCGCCUUCAGGAGACCCUGCAAGCACGACCACCCACCUCCAACAAUCAACCUGGGUGUCCCCAAGGAUACCAUGUGACUCUGGGGUGUGUAGGAGACACGGGGAGCCAGGUCACGGCCUUUCUCUUUCUGUCGCCGCCGGCGCCAGGCGAACAGGCCCAACAGCACCACAAUGAGGAACAACAGGAGGACGAUGCCUGUGACAGCACCCACCGAGUGCCGCUCUGCACCCAGCGCCGGGCUGAUCUUGGUGUAGGGAUUCAGCUCCUCCAUCAUGAGGGCAGCUGUGAAGGGAGGGAGGACACGAGUCUGGGGGAGGCCUGCUUGCUCUUCAGAUCUUGGCCCAGGGCCUAGACUCCUCUAAUGUUAGGAGACCUGGGUUCUGGUCUUCGGCCCUAUUCUUCAAUCCCUGUGUGAUCCUGUCCCUCACCGCGCCUGUGUUCUUCAACUGUCUACAGCAGAUGGACUUCCAGGGUCACGACCAAGAACAAAUGUGAUCACGGAUGGCAAAUAAAAUAACAACAAAUGUGUACUGACUACUUUCUUCGAAAAAUGGGUUACAGAUACUAACUCAUUUUAUCUUCCCAGCAGCCAUAUGAGUAAGGACUAUUUAAUUAUUUCCCUUUCACAGAUGAAGAAACUGACUCACGGUAAGGUUAGAUAACUUGCCCAAGAUCAUAUAACCAGUAACUGGUAAAGUCCGGUUUCUCCGGAGUUCGGAAGAAUUGCACUCAGUGCAUCUCCCUGCUUAUCAGCUUUGUGACUCUGAGUCCUCAGUUUGUUCAUUUGUAACAUGGGGACAAUAAUCUCACCCUCCCCAGGGAACUGUGAGCACCAUAGGACAGACUGGCAAGAAAGCGUGCCAUUGUGCCCGAUGACUGCCCACAGCAUCCCUCUUGAUGAUACAUGAAUGGGCUAACUCUUCACACUGCUGCCAAGCCCAUGGUGGGGGCAUCCUGCCGCCCAGCAGAGGCUAGACCUUUCCUUGGCUAUCAGCAACUGGGUGAACGAAGCUAGUCAACAUCCUCGGGGAAAUGUGCUGCAUUAUCAUUCUCUGUGAUCAUCAGAAUACAAUAGAAAUGUCUUUUGGGCCCCUUUCUGUUAGGUGGAUAACUGAGCGCCCAUUAUCAUUCCCCAUCUUGAACAAACAACAGUGUAAUCCCUUAUUUGCACCAAUUCACGAGGGGUUUUUAUGUAUACAAAAUCAUUUAUUGAGUGCUUGCUUAUGUGCCAGGCACUGUGCUGAGUUCUCUACUAUCAUCUCAACCUGGUCCUCAUAAUUACUAUGGGGUGUCCUCUGACUAUAGAGCUGGAGCCAAGGUUGAGCGCCUUUGGACUCCUUGGCCCUCAACAGAACCUCGUGUUGUGUUGGAAGACGGAUUAAUCUACCCUUCCUACUUUGCAUGUGGAAAAAUAAGCCCGGUAAAAUAAAAUGACCUGUCCAGCAUACCUAGCCGGUAAUGGCAGAACCAGAAUUUGGCAUA